GAUGAACGCUGGCGGCGUGCCUAAUACAUGCAAGUCGAGCGAACGGACGAGAAGCUUGCUUUUCUGAUGUUAGCGGCGGACGGGUGAGUAACACGUGGAUAACCUACCUAUAAGACUGGGAUAACUUCGGGAAACCGGAGCUAAUACCGGCUAAUAUUUUGAACCGCAUGGUUCAAAAGUGAAAGACGGUCUUGCUGUCACUUAUAGAUGGAUCCGCGCUGCAUUAGCUAGUUGGUAAGGUAACGGCUUACCAAGGCAACGAUGCAUAGCCGACCUGAGAGGAUGAUCGGCCACACUGGAACUGAGACACGGUCCAGACUCCUACGGGAGGCAGCAGUAGGGAAUCUUGCGCAAUGGGCGAAAGCCUGACGGAGCAACGCCGCGUGAGUGAUGAAGGUCUUCGGAUCGUAAAACUCUGUUAUUAGGGAAGAACAUAUGUGUAAGUAACUGUGCACAUCUUGACGGUACCCAAACAGAAAGCCACGGCUAACUACGUG
This 497-nucleotide ribosomal RNA is filed under the name uncultured bacterium. RNAcentral's name for it is "partial 16S ribosomal RNA". It matches the Rfam family "Bacterial small subunit ribosomal RNA", at positions 28 to 507 of the family's 1533-position model. The record is from RNAcentral.